Molecule: ribosomal RNA, 254 nt
Filed under: uncultured bacterium
Lineage: Bacteria
Description: partial 16S ribosomal RNA
Rfam family: Bacterial small subunit ribosomal RNA
Source: RNAcentral
GACAGAGGGUGCAAACGUUGUUCGGAAUUACUGGGCGUAAAGCGCGUGUAGGCGGCCUAGUAAGUCGGGCGUGAAAUCCCACGGCUCAACCGUGGAAGUGCACUCGAAACUGGAUGGCUAGAGUCCUGGAGAGGAAGGUGGAAUGCUUGGUGUAGAGGUGAAAUUCGUAGAUAUCAAGCGGAACACCGGUGGCGAAGGCGGCCUUCUGGACAGUGACUGACGCUGAGGCGCGAAGGCUAGGGGAGCGAACGGGG